AGCGCAGGCGGUUUCUUAAGUCUGAUGUGAAAGCCUUCGGCUCAACCGAAGAAGUGCAUCGGAAACUGGGAAACUUGAGUGCAGAAGAGGACAGUGGAACUCCAUGUGUAGCGGUGGAAUGCGUAGAUAUAUGGAAGAACACCAGUGGCGAAGGCGGCUGUCUGGUCUGUAACUGCGCUGAGGCUCGAAAGCAUGGGUAGCAAAACA
Molecule: ribosomal RNA, 207 nt
Filed under: uncultured bacterium
Lineage: Bacteria
Description: partial 16S ribosomal RNA
Rfam family: Bacterial small subunit ribosomal RNA
Source: RNAcentral